AGAAACGAGGUCUAAACAUGAAAUGAGAAACAAAGUCUAAACAUGAAAUGAGAAACGAGGUCUAAACAUGAAACAAGGUCUACACAUGAAAUGAGAAACGAGGUCUAAACAUGAAACAAGAAACGAGGUCUAAACUUGAAACAACGUCUAAACAUGAAAUGAGAAAUGAGGUCUAAACAUGAAAGGAGAAACGAGGUUUAAACAUGAACGAGGUCUAAACAAGAAACGAGGUCUAAACAUGAAACAAGGUCUAAACAUGAAACGAGAAACGAAGUGUAAACAUAAAACG
Molecule: long non-coding RNA, 289 nt
Organism: Ictalurus punctatus (channel catfish)
Lineage: Eukaryota; Metazoa; Chordata; Actinopteri; Siluriformes; Ictaluridae
Source: Ensembl